Molecule: non-coding RNA, 1058 nt
Organism: Salvelinus sp. IW2-2015
Lineage: Eukaryota; Metazoa; Chordata; Actinopteri; Salmoniformes; Salmonidae
Source: RefSeq, a predicted model, not a curated record
UGUUGAUUUUAUGGGAUGGUAGACCAAUACAAAAAUUGUUUUGAUCUAUAUUAUUCAUGAGUAGUGUUUAUUCAUUUUGGUGUGAUUCUUCAAGUUGAAGUGCUUUUUUUGCCCUACUUGUUCACCAGCAUUUGUAUUGUUUUCCCAACAGUCAUCGGGGAAUGACCACGUCAAUGGGGUCGUUAAAGAAGAUAAAGACUGAGUUUCUUCGCUGUGAGAGGGGAAAAGAAGGUGAAUGCAUGUGAGCAGUGUGACAGAAGAAACAUGGAUGAAGGUGAUGGGUGGUGAUAUUUGGACUGAUGUCUCCGCUGUGAGGAGGUUGUUUGUUGGUCAAUGAGUGUCUGUGAUACCCUGUUCCCUUUUCACCACCUCCGUUGAAGAAUCAUUCCGGACUUGGAUUUGACAUUUCCAAAAUGAAUUUUAAUUAAGAAUUGACUGUUAGAGUAAUUACCUGCCCUAUUGGACAUUAAACAAUACAGUUGCUGUACGUUUUAUGCUGCCAAACAAAGCUAUAUUUUCCCUAUGCUAACCAACGUAGGCCUUCAGUAUGUAUUACGCUCCUCCAAAACAUGUCACAACUCGGACCCACUAUCACCGACCCCAUUGCUGAAAUCCUCAUUCACGCCUGGACUAUUGCAGCACCAUUCUCUACAGACUCCCUGACAAAACACUGGACCUACUUCCAUACAUUCAAACUCAGCUGUCAGAGUCCUCACACACACCAGACCUUGGGACAUCACAACCUUCAUCAAACUUCACUGGCUACCAGUUCAAUCCAGCAUCAUCUUCAAACUACUCUUGCUCACCUUCAAAUAGACUGGCCCUCACACACCUCUCUAACCUCCUACACUCCCACCGAUUUACUGCGCUCCUCUGACACUGGCCUACUCACCAUCCCUCGCAACAGGCUCCGCUCGAUGUGAGAACGUCCUUUUAGCAGUGCAGGCCCCAGCUCUGGAACUCCCUCCCUCCAUGUCAGAACCUCACAAUCCAUACACAUAUUCUAGUCCACACUCAGACACCUCUUCACACAGGCCUACCCAAAAUGGCUGUGUCUA